Long non-coding RNA from Astatotilapia calliptera (eastern happy), 3228 nucleotides. The record is from Ensembl. NCBI's taxonomy places the organism in Eukaryota, Metazoa, Chordata, Actinopteri, Cichliformes, Cichlidae.
GACAGAAAGAAAGUCACCUUUAUUUGAUGGAUAUAAACAAGCUGGCCAACACUCAAUAGUAAUAUUCUGAUACAGCACAUACAAUAGCAAACUGGGGCACUGAGGACAGCCUCCUAUAGUUUUUAUAAAACAAAACAUUACAGAGUAUCCAUGCUUUUUUUUUUCCCCAAACUUACUCAAUCUCACUUUCUUUUUUUUUUAAAUUUAGGGACUUUCUCUUUAUAAAGUUGUUGUUGUUUUUGUUCAGUUUUUUUUAAAUAGUUUUAUCUUGUGCAUUCACACAACAACAUACACGCACUCAUAAACAAAUAAAUUGCAGUUAUGCACGCACACAUCCCUCUUUUCUGAAUGCAUUUACACCAGCAACUCCAAGAACAUGCUGCACUCUCACAGAACUGCACAGGCUGUCUACUAAGGGGACACAGUAAGUGAGACACACAUCACUCUCAAACACAACAUCACACCGUCACAAUGCACGAUGCAGAUGCAAUUAAUGUAUGAGGAAUGAUGCUUUAUGGGAGAUUAGCUCACGUUCACACGAAUAAUCAUUCAGCAUGCUGGACACACAUUUAGUUUGCUCCUUGGUUUUUACUGUACACCUCAAAACAUUUACCUAUACAAAUAGUACAGUCUCAAACUGGCAUGUUCAGUGCACCGAAAAAAUAGAAAAAAUAAAGCUAACUUAAAUACAAAAAAAUGAAUAAUAAAAAAGUAAACAUAAUAUUUGUUCCGUUAAACAAAAGCGUUUCUGGCAUUGGUCACAGUGAUUUGUUUAAUCCAAAGUUUUCAGUGAUUUGCAGUAAAACAAAAACAACCUGUUUACAAGAAUACAGUGAAAAUGUAUGGUAGGCUUUUUUUUUUCUUUUUUCUGAAGGCUUUUGAAAAUUACUGGUGACUUUUCAAGUCUUUCUACACAUCUGUUUCUAGGCACCGAUGAAGCCUUGCCUUCUCAAAUCUGCCACGCGCAAUGUCAGAUUACUCUUGCGUCUAAGCUCAGGAAACCAGUCCCAGCCUCUAAGCCUUGGUGUCUCCGAAACCUUUUUUUGACGCAACAGUAGAGAAAUCGCUCUGCAUAGAGAACAGGAGAUUAUCCUUACAUCAUCGCUUUCAGUUGGCACAUUAUGUAAAAAUCGACAUGCAUGGGCACAAUUGAAAUGUCGUCUACCAUGUAAAUCAUAUGUUACUAUUUCAUGGUAGGAGAACUCCCUACUUCAAGUAUUCAGUAGAUAAGGACCUGAAAAUAGAGGAUUCAUACUUCAUCCCCCUCUCGGUGUAGUGAGAGGAUUGUUGCUCCUCUGUCUGUUUGCAUUGUCUUCCCUUUUGUUUUUUUUAAACAUCCAAGUCAGGAUUUAUCUUAACAUUUGUAAACACAAACAGCAAGGUUUCACACGGUCUGUUGGUUCUUGGUCAGUGGAUCAGAGCCGUAACGGUGGGAAGCAGACACAUAAAAGAUGAUGCACAGAUCACCUUGGAGUGAUGAGUAAAUGGAAAGACAUUUAUAUACAACAACCAACACUUGGCCAUAAAAGGGAGACACACAGGCACUAUGAGGGUUAGAGAGAGGAACUGGGGAUUGUAACAGUCUACUUCAUUUUUCCACUAUACUGUAACAAUUUGUGUGCGCGUGUGUUUUUUUUUUCUACUCGGUUAGCUGUCACAGUCACAUACAUCAUCACUUCGGCUUACGAGACAACAACAACGACAAACACACGAAGGAAAUGCAUCCAGACAGAGUCACUCAAACCUCCGGUUGGGUGAUAACUGUGAUAGUCCUCUCACAAGUGCAAGCUUCUGACUGCUGAGUUCAGCAGACAUAAUCUCAAUGCUACCUGUGCGAGCUGCAAAAUUAAAAAAAUAAAUAAAGUCGCUGUUCAAAGUCGUCACCACAGGCAAAGUGGUCUUCAACUGAGUUAUUUUUCACAUUAAGAAAGGAAUGUAAUAAUGUCACCUUUUCUAAACUUCUAGAUAGAUUUGGAUACACUUCUUUGUUUCCCAUAAACUGUCCUAAAGCUCUUAAUUUUUUUUUAUUUGGGCUGUCCUGUGUUUUCAGACAGGGAAUGUUAAAUUUGCUGCUGAGGGGGGUUUUCAUAUACAGUACAAAUCAGAGGAAAAUCACACCGCUCAACGCUCUAAAUAAGACAUUUCUCAGACCUCCAGCCAGAUAGAAAAAUAACCAUGAAGAAAAAAGAAACAUAUAUAUAUUAUAUAUAUAUAUAUUUAUAUAGUAUCUUGUCAGUUUGAAAUGAUUUUCUGACCACAUAUAGACACACUCUAUAGAUUUCUCUCUAUAUGUAUAAUAUAUUCAUAUCUAUCAUAUGUGUACAGUUUUUACGAGGCACAGGCCACCUUGUUGAGAAGGAGAAAACAAGUCACUAUGUUUGGGGAGGUCACACAAACUACUGCUGGAAGAGUACAAGGGAGAGGGGAGCAGGAGCAUACUCUAGGUCAGACACUGGUGUGUCAGUGGCUCCAAUAGACCUGCAGGAUAAACAUCUAUUGGACACUGCCUUCUCUUUAUAGUCUAGAAUGAUGCUUAUAGUAGCAGUAUUUGCUGAGGGACCUAGCCUCUGUUUGUGGAUCACAAACCCCAUUUGUCAAAUCACAAAGAACUCCUUUACAGUUGUUUAUGAAGCCCAUUGUGGGAUCAAGUCCCUUUACUGUAAAAGGACUAAAAGAUGCUCUUUACCAGGUCUUCUCACACCGUUUAGUUUGAGCACCAGCAGAAGCACCAUUAGUAAAAAUUCCUGCAACACAGAGGAGGUGCAUAGGUGCAUAGUCUCAGAAAUAAUCUAAAUAAUCUGAUCAAUAUAUUCUGACCACUCCCUUGGCUGCUGUGAUUGGACAAUUAAAUCAUUUUGACUUGAUUUAAGUAAGGAUGGGAAUGCAUUCACUCUAUGUUUACAUCUGCAUAGUUUAUUUCUUUUUUUGACUACUUUUGAUUAAAAUGAGGUAAGAUGAAGAUAAAAUCCAGUGCAGCCACAGCCUUAAGGCUAAAACUAGCCAGAGAACUGGAAGGCCCUGCUUGCACAGCCACAGAGACCUCUUGAUGUUGCAGGCAAGGCUCAAGCCUGUCAUCAGUCAGAUCAAAGCUCUUCGUUUUACCAACAAGAAAUGACAAAAGAAACCCUAAAACCACUUAAUCUGGACUGUGUGGAACAUGCUAGUAAAGGGACACCACGUCACGUUUAGAAAUGCUGAAGAAACACAUGGCAGGUAAAAAGGUUAAAA